AUACCUUUCUCGGCCUUUUGGCUAAGAUCAAGUGUAGUAUCUGUUCUUAUCAGUUUAAUAUCUGAUAUGUGGGCCAUCGGCCCACACGAUAUUAAAUUAAUUUUUGUAGGGGGAGGGUCCGCAACGGUAGCUUGCUAUCGGGGUCCUCAAGCGUCGCUCUUGCGUUGCACUACUGCAAGAGCCUGGCGCACCCCAG
Molecule: small nuclear RNA, 196 nt
Filed under: Citrus sinensis (sweet orange)
Lineage: Eukaryota; Viridiplantae; Streptophyta; Magnoliopsida; Sapindales; Rutaceae
Description: U2 spliceosomal RNA
Rfam family: U2 spliceosomal RNA
About the family: U2 is a small nuclear RNA (snRNA) component of the spliceosome (involved in pre-mRNA splicing). Complementary binding between U2 snRNA (in an area lying towards the 5' end but 3' to hairpin I) and the branchpoint sequence (BPS) of the intron results the bulging out of an unpaired adenosine, on the BPS, which initiates a nucleophilic attack at the intronic 5' splice site, thus starting the first of two transesterification reactions that mediate splicing.
Source: Rfam by way of RNAcentral